UCCGGUUUGUUUCCGGCGGUCUCCCUAGAUUUGCAACUAAGGACAAGGGUUGCGCUCGUUGCGGGACUUAACCCAACAUCUCACGACACGAGCUGACGACAGCCAUGCAACAUCUGUCUAUCCGUCCUUGCGGAGGCACCAGUUUCCUGGUGUUGCGAAUAGAUGUCAAGCCCUGGUAAGGUUAUUCGCGUCGCAUCGAAUUAAACCACACGCUCCGCUGCUUGUGCGGGUCCCCGUCAAUUCCUUUGAGUUUUAGUCUUGCGACCGUACUCCCCAGGCGGGCCACUUAAUGCGUUAGCUGCGGCACGGAAGGGGUCAACACCCCCCACACCUAGUGGCCAUCGUUUACUGCUAGGACUAC
RNAcentral lists this unclassified non-coding RNA (361 nucleotides) under uncultured Ktedonobacteria bacterium. RNAcentral's name for it is "contains 16S-23S intergenic spacer region". The record is from RNAcentral. Lineage: Bacteria; Bacillati; Chloroflexota; Ktedonobacteria.